UACAGAGGGUGCAAGCGUUAAUCGGAUUUACUGGGCGUAAAGCGUGCGUAGGCGGUUCAUUAAGUCGGUUGUGAAAUCCCUGGGCUUAACCUGGGAACUGCAGUCGAUACUGGUGAACUAGAAUGCGGUAGAGGGUGGCGGAACUCCGGGUGUAGCGGUGGAAUGCGCAGAUAUCAGGAAGAACACCAACGGCGAAGGCAGCUCGCUGGGACGGAACUGACGCUGAGGCGCGAAAGCGUGGGGAGCGAACAGG
RNAcentral lists this ribosomal RNA (253 nucleotides) under uncultured bacterium. RNAcentral describes it as "partial 16S ribosomal RNA". It matches the Rfam family "Bacterial small subunit ribosomal RNA", at positions 524 to 776 of the family's 1533-position model. The record is from RNAcentral.